GGGAGCGACUUGGCUUCGACAGGAGUAAGUCUGCUUAGAUGGCAUGUCGCUUUGGACAAAGCGUAAAAAGUCCAAAUUAAAAUUAAACGCAAAUAACGUUAAAUUUGCUCCUGCUUACGCUAAAGCUGCGUAAGUUUCAGUUGAGCCCGAAACUCAAGUGAUGCUAUCUAGCUUGAAUUUUGGUCAUCUUUGAUAGUGUAGAUUGAAAAUUGACAACUUUUAAUCGAAGUUAAAGUCUUAGUCUAGCUUGAAAUUUUUGGAAGGUGAGUUUAGCUAGAUGAAGUUUUCACCUUUGCUAAGCAUGUAGAGGUCUUUGUGGGAUUAUUUUUGGACAGGGGUUCGAUUCCCCUCGCUUCCACCA
RNAcentral lists this transfer-messenger RNA (361 nucleotides) under Campylobacter coli. It matches the Rfam family "transfer-messenger RNA". Rfam says of the family: Bacterial tmRNA, also known as 10Sa RNA or SsrA, is named for its dual tRNA and mRNA-like properties. RNAcentral also lists the same sequence under 1 other name. The record is from RNAcentral. Lineage: Bacteria; Pseudomonadati; Campylobacterota; Epsilonproteobacteria; Campylobacterales; Campylobacteraceae.